AGUGAACGCUGGCGGUAUGCCUAACACAUGCAAGUCGAACGGCAGCACAGUAAGAGCUUGCUCUUACGGGUGGCGAGUGGCGGACGGGUGAGGAAUACAUCGGAAUCUACUUUUUCGUGGGGGAUAACGUAGGGAAACUUACGCUAAUACCGCAUAUGACCUACGGGUGAAAGCAGGGGAUCUUCGCACCUUGCGCGAUUGAAUGAGCCGAUGUCGGAUUAGCUAGUUGGCGGGGUAAAGGCCCACCAAGGCGACGAUCCGUAGCUGGUCUGAGAGGAGGAUCAGCCACACGGGAACUGAGACACGGUCCAGACUCCUAAGGGAGGCAGCAGUGGGGAAUAUUGGGCAAUGGGCGCAAGCCUGAUCCAGCCAUACCGAGUGGGUGAAGAAGGCCUUCGGGUUGUAAAGCCCUUUUGUUGGGAAAGAAAAGCAGCAGGUUAAUACCCCGCUGUUCUGACGGUACCCAAUGAAUAAGCACCGGCUAACUUCGUG
Molecule: ribosomal RNA, 492 nt
Filed under: uncultured bacterium
Lineage: Bacteria
Description: partial 16S ribosomal RNA
Rfam family: Bacterial small subunit ribosomal RNA
Source: RNAcentral